UGGCCGCCGGCAGUCGCAGGUUGGGGAUGAUAUGCGAACAAGCAUUGAUGGUCUAAGAGAUUUGUGACGAGGGGUAAUGACUAAACUACUCCCGGUUAAAAUGAAACACAUGCUGUUAAAAUCAACGAUCCAAAUAUUUUUGACGGGGAGGAACCACUGGUUCCUCUCAAGCACCGUAACAGUCCUCUUCUUUUAUAUAUAUACUCUAGAAAUUUGUUUUGUGAAUGAAAAGUUCUAAAAAUUUGUAUAGAAACUUUCUGAAAAUCGAGCCUGAGAGCUGGAACUUGGAUGGGCGGCCAUGGCCAGUGUUCGUCAGAUUAUCCGUGGGCCACGUUGGUUCGUCCAGCAUCUUCUCCCUGUCUCCAGACUCUGGUCCGGUGGCAUCAAGGAGACUGUCAUCACCCUCGAGCAUCACCCUCGAGCUGGCGGAUUUCUCCCUGUGCCCAUCGAGUCAGGUCCGCACGCCAGCACAAGAUUGGCCACCGAUGAAGCCCACAGCCAUCAGUACGCCGGCCACCCACAGGCAGCCACACCACGAAAGCCCGGCGGCAGCACCUUGCCAUCACGCCGGCCUCAACUCUUCCACGCCCGCCACCAACCGACGCGACAGCCGCGACUCAGCCUAAAUCGCGUUGGGAUCCGCCUGGAGCCAUGGACCACGGAGGGGCAAAGGGCUGCGGCUGUGCGAUGUGGAGCUGAGUGCCGCCGCGUCCGGCCGCCGGCGCCGCUAUCGCUAGGAUUUUGGCACUUCGUCAGAGGGCGAGCGAGAGGCCUUUACCCUUUGGGGACGGUGAGUUCUCGUCGUCGGGGUUCUGCUGGUUUCGACGUCGAAGAGCGACAGCCGACAGGAGGUUGCAUUGGUCCUUUAUGGUUGUGCUUCUGGGCCACACAGCUCGGGCCUUGAAAAAUUAAAGUCUAGGGUCGUGGCCGGUGGCCCUAGGCCCAAAUCCGUCCCUUGGCCUCAGGAUCAGGGCAAGGCAGAGUGUAUCGCCGCUCGCCGGUGAUGGACCGGUGGUGGCGGCGCUGGGGAGCGAAUACGCAGUGGAAGGCGCACGGCGGCCUGUGACUUACGUGACCCAACAUUCAGAGGAACACUCUGCUGGAAUUGCUGAAGAUACCACUUGAUGGUACUGGUCCUUCAAAAUCAUUUAGUGACAGAUUGAGUGCCUGCAAAGAACUCAACAAGGCGAGGAACUCUGGAAUUUUCCCUGUCAAUUUGUUUCUAGAGAGAUCCAUUUCCUUGAUGCUUUUCAAGUUCAUGAGAGAUUCUGGAAUAUUUCCUGUAAGAAAAUUCCCAUCCAUGUGAAGAAAUUCCAAAAGCACACACUUACCUAGAGUAGAUGGAAUAUCACCAGUCAAGCGGUUAUUGGAAAUACUAAUGCUUCCAAGAUUGAUGAGCCUGCCAAUCUCCAUCGGUAUGGGCCCAGUAAAGAAAUUGUUUGACAAAUCCAAGCUUUGGGAAAGUGAUGAGAUAUUGAAGAUCUCACUUGGGAUGCUUCCGUCGAAGGAAUUGUGAGAGACAUUCAACUUCUGUAAUUGUCUCCAUUGGCCUAAACUUUCAGUUCCUCAGGAGAUUAAUAGAAAGUAAUGGAAUUUAGAUUGGAGAAUAUUGGGUAGGCGCCAAGGAAGAUAGUCCAAACAUAGAUGAGACUGACUCUGCCUGUACAUGGAAUCAAUGAUCCGAACUCAGUAUUGUAUAGCCAAUUGAGAAGCAACAAGGCGAGACAGUGACCACUGACCAGAUCGACACAGGAAGCAAGUGAUCUGUGUGAAUUGAUUCAAUGGAAACACGAAGCCCUUAAGGCCAGGGAAGGGCAACAUCAUGGAGGCACGAAGGAAUUCUGAAUCGCCAUGGGAGCUACAACACUUCGUGUGUCUCAAGUAUAUGCAAUGCUAGUCCUGUGCAUAGUCACAGGAUUCGGGGUCGAUGCCUCGUCCCUCGACCCGGUAACGUCGUUCCGAUUCGAGGGUCGGGGUCGAAGAGGGUCAGUGUCCCAUUCAAGGUUGGAUCGUGUCCCGGUUUGAAAGGG
Long non-coding RNA from Panicum virgatum (switchgrass), 2030 nucleotides. RefSeq lists it as uncharacterized. The record is from RefSeq and is a predicted model, not a curated record. The transcript has 6 exons. NCBI's taxonomy places the organism in Eukaryota, Viridiplantae, Streptophyta, Magnoliopsida, Poales, Poaceae.